This 375-nucleotide ribosomal RNA is filed under the name uncultured bacterium. Its description in RNAcentral is "bacterial SSU rRNA". It matches the Rfam family "Bacterial small subunit ribosomal RNA", at positions 29 to 414 of the family's 1533-position model. The record is from RNAcentral.
AACGAACGCUAGCGGUAGGCCUAACACAUGCAAGUCGAACGGGCAUAUAGCUUGGCUUGCCAAGUUGUAUGUCAGUGGCAGACGGGUGAGUAAUACAUAGGAAUCUACCUGACAGUAAGGAAUAGUCACUAGAAAUGGUGAGUAAUACCAUAUACGCCCUGAGGGGGAAAGAUUUAUCGCUGUCAGAUGAGCCUAUGUUGGAUUAGCUAGUUGGUGAGGUAAAUGCUCACCAAGGCAACGAUCCAUAGCUGGCCUGAGAGGGUGAACAGCCACACUGGAACUGAGAUACGGUCCAGACUCCUACGGGAGGCAGCAGUGGGAAUAUUGGGCAAUGGGCGAAAGCCUGACCCAGCCAUACCGCAUGAGUGAUGAAGG